GGAUGCGAUCAUACCAGCAUUAAUGCACUAGAUCCCAUCAGAACUCUGAAGUUAAGCGUGCUUUGGCGAGAGUAGUACUAGGAUGGGUGACCUCUCGGAAAGUCUUCGUAUUGCAUCCC
Molecule: ribosomal RNA, 119 nt
Filed under: Arabidopsis thaliana x Arabidopsis arenosa
Lineage: Eukaryota; Viridiplantae; Streptophyta; Magnoliopsida; Brassicales; Brassicaceae
Source: RNAcentral